GGUUAAGCGACUAAGCGUACACGGUGGAUGCCCUGGCAGUCAGAGGCGAUGAAGGACGUGCUAAUCUGCGAAAAGCGUCGGUAAGGUGAUAUGAACCGUUACAGCCGGCGAUGUCCGAAUGGGGAAACCCAGUGCAAUUCGUUGCACUAUCGUUUGAUGAAUACAUAGUCAAACGAGGCGAACCGGGGGAACUGAAACAUCUAAGUACCCCGAGGAAAAGAAAUCAACCGAGAUUCCCCCAGUAGCGGCGAGCGAACGGGGAGCAGCCCGGAGUCUGAAUCAGCUUGUGUGUUAGUGGAAGCGUCUGGAAAGUCGCAGGGUACAGGGUGAUACUCCCGUACACUAAAACACACAGGUUGUGAACUCGAAGAGUAGGGCGGGACACGUGGUAUCCUGUCUGAAUAUGGGGGGACCAUCCUCCAAGGCUAAAUACUCCUGACUGACCGAUAGUGAACCAGUACCGUGAGGGAAAGGCGAAAAGAACCCCGGCGAGGGGAGUGAAAAAGAACCUGAAACCGUGUACGUACAAGCAGUAGGAGCCCACUUGUUGGGUGACUGCGUACCUUUUGUAUAAUGGGUCAGCGACUUAUAUUCUGUAGCAAGGUUAACCGUAUAGGGGAGCCGCAGGGAAACCGAGUCUUAACUGGGCGUUAAGUUGCAGGGUAUAGACCCGAAACCCGGUGAUCUAGCCAUGGGCAGGUUGAAGGUUGGGUAACACUAACUGGAGGACCGAACCGACUAAUGUUGAAAAAUUAGCGGAUGACUUGUGGCUGGGGGUGAAAGGCCAAUCAAACCGGGAGAUAGCUGGUUCUCCCCGAAAGCUAUUUAGGUAGCGCCUCGUGAAUUCAUCUUCGGGGGUAGAGCACUGUUUCGGCUAGGGGGUCAUCCCGACUUACCAACCCGAUGCAAACUACGAAUACCGAAGAAUGUUAUCACGGGAGACACACGGCGGGUGCUAACGUCCGUCGUGAAGAGGGAAACAACCCAGACCGCCAGCUAAGGUCCCAAAGUCAUGGUUAAGUGGGAAACGAUGUGGGAAGGCCCAGACAGCCAGGAUGUUGGCUUAGAAGCAGCCAUCAUUUAAAGAAAGCGUAAUAGCUCACUGGUCGAGUCGGCCUGCGCGGAAGAUGUAACGGGGCUAAACCAUGCACCGAAGCUGCGGCAGCGACGCUUAGGCGUUGUUGGGUAGGGGAGCGUUCUGUAAGCCGUUGAAGGUGGCCUGUGAGGGUUGCUGGAGGUAUCAGAAGUGCGAAUGCUGACAUAAGUAACGAUAAUGCGGGUGAAAAACCCGCACGCCGGAAGACCAAGGGUUCCUGUCCAACGUUAAUCGGGGCAGGGUGAGUCGACCCCUAAGGCGAGGCCGAAAGGCGUAGUCGAUGGGAAACAGGUUAAUAUUCCUGUACUUGGUGUUACUGCGAAGGGGGGACGGAGAAGGCUAUGUUGGCCGGGCGACGGUUGUCCCGGUUUAAGCGUGUAGGUGUGUGUUCCAGGUAAAUCCGGUUCACUUUAACACUGAGGCGUGAUGACGAGGCACUACGGUGCUGAAGUGACAAAUGCCCUGCUUCCAGGAAAAGCCUCUAAGCAUCAGGUAACAUCAAAUCGUACCCCAAACCGACACAGGUGGUCAGGUAGAGAAUACCAAGGCGCUUGAGAGAACUCGGGUGAAGGAACUAGGCAAAAUGGUGCCGUAACUUCGGGAGAAGGCACGCUGAUAUGUAGGUGAAGUGAUUUACUCAUGGAGCUGAAAUCAGUCGAAGAUACCAGCUGGCUGCAACUGUUUAUUAAAAACACAGCACUGUGCAAACACGAAAGUGGACGUAUACGGUGUGACGCCUGCCCGGUGCCGGAAGGUUAAUUGAUGGGGUUAUCCGUAAGGAGAAGCUCUUGAUCGAAGCCCCGGUAAACGGCGGCCGUAACUAUAACGGUCCUAAGGUAGCGAAAUUCCUUGUCGGGUAAGUUCCGACCUGCACGAAUGGCGUAAUGAUGGCCAGGCUGUCUCCACCCGAGACUCAGUGAAAUUGAACUCGCUGUGAAGAUGCAGUGUACCCGCGGCAAGACGGAAAGACCCCGUGAACCUUUACUAUAGCUUGACACUGAACACUGGUCCUUGAUGUGUAGGAUAGGUGGGAGGCUUUGAAGUGUGGACGCCAGUCUGCAUGGAGCCAUCCUUGAAAUACCACCCUUUAAUGGCUGGUGUUCUAACGUGGGCCCGUAAUCCGGGUUGCGGACAGUGUCUGGUGGGUAGUUUGACUGGGGCGGUCUCCUCCUAAAGAGUAACGGAGGAGCACGAAGGUCAGCUAAUCCUGGUCGGACAUCAGGAGGUUAGUGCAAUGGCAUAAGCUGGCUUGACUGCGAGCGUGACGGCGCGAGCAGGUGCGAAAGCAGGUCAUAGUGAUCCGGUGGUUCUGAAUGGAAGGGCCAUCGCUCAACGGAUAAAAGGUACUCCGGGGAUAACAGGCUGAUACCGCCCAAGAGUUCAUAUCGACGGCGGUGUUUGGCACCUCGAUGUCGGCUCAUCACAUCCUGGGGCUGAAGUAGGUCCCAAGGGUAUGGCUGUUCGCCAUUUAAAGUGGUACGCGAGCUGGGUUUAGAACGUCGUGAGACAGUUCGGUCCCUAUCUGCCGUGGGCGCUGGAGAAUUGAGGGGGGCUGCUCCUAGUACGAGAGGACCGGAGUGGACGCAUCACUGGUGUUCGGGUUGUCAUGCCAAUGGCAUUGCCCGGUAGCUAAAUGCGGAAGAGAUAAGUGCUGAAAGCAUCUAAGUACGAAACUUGCCCCGAGAUGAGUUCUCCCUGACUCCUUGAGAGUCCUGAAGGAACGUUGAAGACGACGACGUUGAUAGGCCGGGUGUGUAAGCGCAGCGAUGCGUUGAGCUAACCGGUACUAAUGAACCGUGAGGCUUAACCUU
RNAcentral lists this ribosomal RNA (2907 nucleotides) under Klebsiella michiganensis. RNAcentral describes it as "23S ribosomal RNA". It matches the Rfam family "Bacterial large subunit ribosomal RNA". Lineage: Bacteria; Pseudomonadati; Pseudomonadota; Gammaproteobacteria; Enterobacterales; Enterobacteriaceae. The record is from RNAcentral. RNAcentral also lists the same sequence under 1 other name.